RNAcentral lists this ribosomal RNA (849 nucleotides) under Lactiplantibacillus plantarum. Its description in RNAcentral is "bacterial SSU rRNA". It matches the Rfam family "Bacterial small subunit ribosomal RNA", at positions 447 to 1288 of the family's 1533-position model. The record is from RNAcentral. Lineage: Bacteria; Bacillati; Bacillota; Bacilli; Lactobacillales; Lactobacillaceae.
GAACAUAUCUGAGAGUAACUGUUCAGGUAUUGACGGUAUUUAACCAGAAAGCCACGGCUAACUACGUGCCAGCAGCCGCGGUAAUACGUAGGUGGCAAGCGUUGUCCGGAUUUAUUGGGCGUAAAGCGAGCGCAGGCGGUUUUUUUAAGUCUGAUGUGAAAGCCUUCGGCUCAACCGAAGAAGUGCAUCGGAAACUGGGAAACUUGAGUGCAGAAGAGGACAGUGGAACUCCAUGUGUAGCGGUGAAAUGCGUAGAUAUAUGGAAGAACACCAGUGGCGAAGGCGGCUGUCUGGUCUGUAACUGACGCUGAGGCUCGAAAGUAUGGGUAGCAAACAGGAUUAGAUACCCUGGUAGUCCAUACCGUAAACGAUGAAUGCUAAGUGUUGGAGGGUUUCCGCCCUUCAGUGCUGCAGCUAACGCAUUAAGCAUUCCGCCUGGGGAGUACGGCCGCAAGGCUGAAACUCAAAGGAAUUGACGGGGGCCCGCACAAGCGGUGGAGCAUGUGGUUUAAUUCGAAGCUACGCGAAGAACCUUACCAGGUCUUGACAUACUAUGCAAAUCUAAGAGAUUAGACGUUCCCUUCGGGGACAUGGAUACAGGUGGUGCAUGGUUGUCGUCAGCUCGUGUCGUGAGAUGUUGGGUUAAGUCCCGCAACGAGCGCAACCCUUAUUAUCAGUUGCCAGCAUUAAGUUGGGCACUCUGGUGAGACUGCCGGUGACAAACCGGAGGAAGGUGGGGAUGACGUCAAAUCAUCAUGCCCCUUAUGACCUGGGCUACACACGUGCUACAAUGGAUGGUACAACGAGUUGCGAACUCGCGAGAGUAAGCUAAUCUCUUAAAGCCAUUCU